UCUGGCUCUGGUGGGGCUUGGUCUUCACGAGGUGGUUGCGAGGUGAAGGAGGAAGGACAGCGGGAAAUUUGACGGCAGACGCACUAAAGGGUUUAAGGGAAUUGUUUUUUGACUUUGGCUACGGAUUUGGAUCACAGUGUUUGGCGGUUGGCAUAAACUGGUAUGUGACUGGCUGGAAUGGCAUCUCAGGUGGAUGAGGAUGAUGAUAUGGAUUUUGGUGAAUGGACCCCGGUUGCUGGCGGGGGAAGAUCAGGAAGAGGGAGAAGCAGGAGAGAGGAAGCAAGUUUGUUUGGGACACAGACUAGUAAACGGAGCUUGGAGGAGAACAGUUCGGAAGAGGGGUCCAGGGUUGUCCGGAGGAAAACGUGUCUAAAGAAGAAAAUCAACCACACCAAAGUCAUUCCUCGUAUCCGUCCCCACUGUGGAUUAUCAUCUGUGUUUACCUGGUUGCUCUACCACUAUUAAUGAUGGGACUAUAUCACUGUACAAGAGAUAUAGCAGCUAAAGAUGAACUUAAGACUAUAGUGGUUUACUCAGCCAUGAGCAAUGGUAAGACUUGACAGUAAGCCUUUAAACAUGCCAGUAUUUAAAAUGCUAUGCCUUCAUAACUUGUGUAAUUUUCUUAUUUGUUUCUCAGAUCAGAAUCUGACUCAUAUCAAAGGCAGUUUCAGACCUCCAGUGUUUCAGUCCUUUGAAACCAAAUGGAAUUAAUUUUGUCACAGAGAGAGACUCUGAAUGUCAAAGGUCAAAGUGAAGCCAACUGAAAAUCAAGUAACCUGUGUGUUUUUAUCACUGAGUGUAUAAACACCCAACUACAGAAUAAAGC
Long non-coding RNA from Oreochromis niloticus (Nile tilapia), 826 nucleotides. RefSeq lists it as uncharacterized. NCBI's taxonomy places the organism in Eukaryota, Metazoa, Chordata, Actinopteri, Cichliformes, Cichlidae. The record is from RefSeq and is a predicted model, not a curated record. The transcript is spliced from 3 exons.